CCUACGGGGUGCAGCAGUGGGGAAUAUUGCACAAUGGGCGAACGCCUGAUGCAGCAACGCCGCGUGAAGGAAGACGGUUUUCUGAUUGUUAACUUCUGUUCUUAGUGAAGAAUAAUGACGGUAACUCAGGAGCAAGCCACGGCUAACUACGUGCCAGCAGCCGCGGUAAUACGUAGGUGGCACGCGUUGUACGGAAUGACUGGGUGUAAAGGGAGCGUAGGCGGGAAGACAAGUCAGCUGUGAAAACGACGGGCUUAACCUGGAGACUGCAGUUGAAACUGGAUUUCUUGAGUGAAGUAGAGGUUGGCGGAAUGCCGAGUGUAGCGGUGAAAUGCGUAGAUAUUCGGCAGAACACCGAUGGCGAAGGCAGCCAACUGGGCUUUAACUGACGCUGAGGCUCGAAAGUGUGGGGAGCAAACAGGAUUAGAUACCCUGGUAGUC
Molecule: ribosomal RNA, 441 nt
Filed under: uncultured bacterium
Lineage: Bacteria
Description: partial 16S ribosomal RNA
Rfam family: Bacterial small subunit ribosomal RNA
Source: RNAcentral